Molecule: small nuclear RNA, 183 nt
Organism: Mustela putorius furo (domestic ferret)
Lineage: Eukaryota; Metazoa; Chordata; Mammalia; Carnivora; Mustelidae
Gene: U2
Rfam family: U2 spliceosomal RNA
About the family: U2 is a small nuclear RNA (snRNA) component of the spliceosome (involved in pre-mRNA splicing). Complementary binding between U2 snRNA (in an area lying towards the 5' end but 3' to hairpin I) and the branchpoint sequence (BPS) of the intron results the bulging out of an unpaired adenosine, on the BPS, which initiates a nucleophilic attack at the intronic 5' splice site, thus starting the first of two transesterification reactions that mediate splicing.
Source: Ensembl
AUAGCUUUUAGGCCUUUUAGCUAAUGUCAAGUGUUCUAUCUAUUCUUAUCAGCGUAAUUAUCUGACACGUCCUCUAUCCUAGAACAAUAUAUUAAAUGGAUUUUUGGAACUAGGAGCUAGAAUAGGACCUUGCUCCAUCCACUUCACUUCUAUUUCUUUGAUUAGCGAAGUUAAAUAUUAUUU